GUUGGGCUCUGUGUGUUGAGGAGUCUUGUGACUGCCUUGGGGCUUUGGGCUGUAGUCAGCUGACAGUCCUUUGUGCUCUGUGGGGAUGACGUAGGCCAAUGAGAGGACAAAUGCCCCUCUGAACUGUCUUCUGGGCAGUGACUGUCAUGGUCAUAAUCCUGACCCUGAGCCAGUGCCAGGUCUCCAAGUGCCUUCUGAAUGACCACAGGCGAUUGGUUUUAGUGGUAGGUGUGUGGGGAUCUGUUCUGGUCAUCUGGAUGCUGGUCAUCGGUGUGCAGUAUUGAUCAGGACCUGCAAACCCAAAAGUUUAUGGGAGCUGGCACGUCAUAUUUCUGGACCCUGGAGCCCCACCCCAAGCUAAAGACCAGGAUACAGGGAAGCCAAAAGCCACUGGCGGUUCUGAGAACUUACUUUUCACUUAUUCUGCAUUUACUGUUUCCUUUUCUUACGCAGAAAAAGAAAAAAACCAAGGUAGGUGUGUGGGUAGAGAGCAUGAAGUGUGUGUACUCAUGCAUAUGUGUGUAUGUGCAUGCGUGUGAAGUGUGCAUGUGUGAGCUCAUAUGCAUCCAUGCACCAGACUUGCCUCUUCCUCCCCCUCCUUCCCUGAGCUUCUGCUGGGGCCGAGCGUGCAGUAAUGACAACUACAAUAUGCUGGGGGAAGGCUACGUGCCAAGCACUCUUUUAGGUGCUUUCCAUGAUUAAUUCCUUCCUCACAACAGUCCUAUGAGAUUAGUACUAUAACUAUCCCCAUUUUCAGAGGGAGAAAAGGUACAGACUUGACUAACUUGCCCAAGGCCACACAGCUAGGGAGGGGCAGAGCCAGUACUUAGAGCCAGGCAGUGUGGGUCCAGAGUCCGUGUCCUGAACCACAAGAGGCCAUCAUACACCAUCAGAUUUGGUGCUAGCAUUUCUGGUGGUGCCUGGUGGUGAUGGAUCCAUCACAGGGGUCCUCCAGGUACUGGUGCUGGCCCAGACCAGAGCUGACACUCAUCAGGCACUACCACAUUCCAGGCACUGUGCUUGGGGUCAAUCCCUCUCUUUCCCCCCCGCCAAUUAUAACAGUAUCUACAAAGUAGGUGCUGUUAUUUUUCCCCUUUCACAGGUGAGAUAGACUCAAAGAAGUGAACUUGCCCAAGGAACAGAACUAAUGAGUGGGGAAAAUGGAACUGGAAACCAUGUCUGUUUACUCCAAAACCUGUGUUUCUUGCCCUCUUUCUCUGGUGCCAGCCCCUACACUUCAAGGCCUAUGUUGUCCAGACCCACACUCGGGCCUGCCAGUGUGUGCCUGGCAGGGAUGCUCCAUGGCCACACCAUAUCCAUCCUACACAUCCCCCCUCAGAAUGUGACCUCCAUUUGCUCUGGGAUCCCCACAAGCUUCA
This 1379-nucleotide long non-coding RNA is filed under the name Pan troglodytes (chimpanzee). RNAcentral describes it as "long non-coding RNA NONPTRT005308". Lineage: Eukaryota; Metazoa; Chordata; Mammalia; Primates; Hominidae. The record is from RNAcentral.